AGUGGGAUUUCUGGGUCAUAUGGAAAGUAUAUAUUUAACUUUAAAGGAAACUACUGAGCCCUUUUCCAGAGUAACUAUCAUUUUUCAUUCCUAUUAGCGAU
This 101-nucleotide microRNA precursor is filed under the name Marmota monax (woodchuck). The record is from RNAcentral. Lineage: Eukaryota; Metazoa; Chordata; Mammalia; Rodentia; Sciuridae.